GAGCACGCGCGUGUGGCAUAUCAAUAAGCGGAGGAAAAGAAACUAACAAGGAUUCCCUUAGUAACGGCGAGUGAAGCGGGAAAAGAGCUCAAAUUUGAAAUCUUCAAGGUUCUACCUUGACGAAUUGUAGUUUAUAGAAGUGUUUUCUGUUAGUGGAGUGGCAAAAGGUCUUUGGAAUAGGACAUCAUAGAGGGUGAGAAUCCCGUAUUUGGUCAUUCCUCCUAGCGUUGUGAUACACUUUCAACGAGUCGGAUUGCUUGGGAAUGCAGUCCAAAAUGGGUGGUAAAUUUCAUCUAAAGCUAAAUAUUGGCGAGAGACCGAUAGCGAACAAGUACCGUGAGGGAAAGAUGAAAAGAACCUUGAAAAGAGAGUUAAACAGUACGUGAAAUUGUCAAAAGGGAAGCGUUUGACACCAGUGUUGUUUUUCCGAAAAUCAAUUACGAAUGUUUUAUUUUUGAGGAGUUAUGACUUCAUCGGCUUGCUCCUUUCUUUAUGAAACUUUCUUAAUGCACUUUUCGGUUAACAAGUCAACAUCAAUUUCUUUUGUUGUAAAAGGGUAUGAGGAAGGUGGCUUGCUCUUCGGCGCAAGUGUUUAUAGCCUUGUAGCCCUCUGCAAUCGGAGAGAUUGAGGUCUGCAGCGUAGAUCCUUCGGGGUUAGAUACAUUUGUGCUAAGCUAUAGCCUUGUAUAGACAACUUGUUGACUAUGCUCAGUCAUGUAGCUUACUCGCUUAUGCUAUUUUACCUACGCUUAGGAUGUUGAGUAGCGACAUACGCAC
This 777-nucleotide ribosomal RNA is filed under the name uncultured Neocallimastigales. Its description in RNAcentral is "partial large subunit ribosomal RNA". It matches the Rfam family "Eukaryotic large subunit ribosomal RNA", at positions 19 to 649 of the family's 3401-position model. Lineage: Eukaryota; Fungi; Neocallimastigomycota; Neocallimastigomycetes; Neocallimastigales. The record is from RNAcentral.